CUACGGGAUGCUGCAGUGAGGAAUAUUGCACAAUGGGGGGAACCCUGAUGCAGCAACGCCGCGUGGAGGAUGACGCAUUUCGGUGUGUAAACUCCUUUUAUAUGUCAAGAAAAUGACGGUAGCAUAUGAAUAAGCACCGGCUAACUCCGUGCCAGCAGCCGCGGUAAUACGGAGGGUGCAAGCGUUACUCGGAAUCACCGGGCGUAAAGGACGCGUAGGCGGGUUGGAAAGUCAGGUGUGAAAUCCUACAGCUUAACUGUAGAACUGCACUUGAAACUUCUAAUCUAGAGUAUGGGAGAGGGAGAUAGAAUUAGUGGUGUAGGGGUAAAAUCCGUAGAUAUCACUAGGAAUACCUAAAGCGAAGGCGAUCUCCUGGAACAUUACUGACGCUAAGGCGUGAAAGCGUGGGGAGCAAACAGGAUUAGAUACCCGCGUAGUC
RNAcentral lists this ribosomal RNA (439 nucleotides) under uncultured bacterium. RNAcentral's name for it is "partial 16S ribosomal RNA". It matches the Rfam family "Bacterial small subunit ribosomal RNA", at positions 339 to 795 of the family's 1533-position model. The record is from RNAcentral.